RNAcentral lists this ribosomal RNA (255 nucleotides) under uncultured bacterium. RNAcentral describes it as "partial 16S ribosomal RNA". It matches the Rfam family "Bacterial small subunit ribosomal RNA", at positions 334 to 586 of the family's 1533-position model. The record is from RNAcentral.
GGUGCCUACGGGACGCAGCAGUGAGGAAUAUUGGUCAAUGGGCGCGAGCCUGAACCAGCCAAGUCGCGUGAGGGAAGACGGUCCUAUGGAUUGUAAACCUCUUUUGUCGGGGAGCAAAAGACGCCACGCGUGGCGUUCCGAGAGUACCCGAAGAAGAAGCAUCGGCUAACUCCGUGCCAGCAGCCGCGGUAAUACGGGGGAUGCGAGCGUUAUCCGGAUUUAUUGGGUUUAAAGGGUGCGCAGGCGGAAGAUAAA